Molecule: ribosomal RNA, 386 nt
Filed under: marine sediment bacterium BB0608_AND_8.1_7G0
Lineage: Bacteria
Description: bacterial SSU rRNA
Rfam family: Bacterial small subunit ribosomal RNA
Source: RNAcentral
GUAGCUUGCUACCCGCUGACGAGCGGCGGACGGGUGAGUAAUGCAUAGGAAUCUGCCCGAUAGUGGGGGAUAACCUGGGGAAACCCAGGCUAAUACCGCAUACGUCCUACGGGAGAAAGGGGGCUCCGGCUCCCGCUAUUGGAUGAGCCUAUGUCGGAUUAGCUAGUUGGUGAGGUAAAGGCUCACCAAGGCAACGAUCCGUAGCUGGUCUGAGAGGAUGAUCAGCCACAUCGGGACUGAGACACGGCCCGAACUCCUACGGGAGGCAGCAGUGGGGAAUAUUGGACAAUGGGGGCAACCCUGAUCCAGCCAUGCCGCGUGUGUGAAGAAGGCCCUCGGGUUGUAAAGCACUUUCAGCGAGGAAGAACGCCUAUCGGUUAAUACCC